This 442-nucleotide ribosomal RNA is filed under the name uncultured bacterium. RNAcentral's name for it is "partial 16S ribosomal RNA". It matches the Rfam family "Bacterial small subunit ribosomal RNA", at positions 338 to 795 of the family's 1533-position model. The record is from RNAcentral.
CCUACGGGUGGCAGCAGUAGGGAAUCUUUCACAAUGGGCGAAAGCCUGAUGGAGCAACGCCGCGUGCAGGAUGAAGGCCUUCGGGUUGUAAACUGCUUUUAUAAGCGAGAAAUAUGAUGGUAACUUAUGAAUAAGGAUCGGCUAACUACGUGCCAGCAGCCGCGGUCAUACGUAGGAUCCGAGCAUUAUCCGGAGUGACUGGGUGUAAAGAGUUGCGUAGGUGGCAUAAUAAGUAGCUAGUGAAAUCUGGUGGCUCAACCAUUCAGACUAUUAGCUAAACUGGUAAGCUCGAGACCGUUAGGGGUAACUGGAAUGUCUAGUGUAGGAGUGAAAUCCGUAGAUAUUAGAAGGAACACCAAUAGCGUAGGCAGGUUGCUGGGACGGUUCUGACACUAAGGCACGAAAGCGUAGGGAGCAAACGGGAUUAGAUACCCCUGUAGUC